Molecule: ribosomal RNA, 219 nt
Filed under: Sarcocystis fusiformis
Lineage: Eukaryota; Apicomplexa; Conoidasida; Eucoccidiorida; Sarcocystidae
Description: partial small subunit ribosomal RNA
Rfam family: Eukaryotic small subunit ribosomal RNA
Source: RNAcentral
CAUUCAAGUUUCUGACCUAUCAGCUUUCGACGGUAGUGUAUUGGACUACCGUGGCAGUGACGGGUAACGGGGAAUUAGGGUUCGAUGCCGGAGAGGGAGCCUGAGAAACGGCUACCACAUCUAAGGAAGGCAGCAGGCGCGCAAAUUACCCAAUCCUGACUCAGGGAGGUAGUGACAAGAAAUAACAACACUGGAAAUUCUGUUUCUAGUGAUUGGAAU